This is a regulatory RNA element of Chlorocebus sabaeus (green monkey), 324 nucleotides long. Lineage: Eukaryota; Metazoa; Chordata; Mammalia; Primates; Cercopithecidae. The record is from Rfam.
CACAAAAGGAGGGAGGGAGGGAGGGAGCGAGAGGCACAACUUCCUCCACCUUCGGGAGCCGUGGGCAGAGUGGGGGGCUUGGAGGGAAGAUUGGGGAACCGGGUUAGAGGGGGCGCCCAUUGCCUAUCCCCUCGGUCUGCUCCGUUUGCCCACCCUCUCCGGUGUGUCUGUCGCUUGCAGUGUUGGAGGUCGGCGCCGGCCCCCGCCUUCCGCGCCCCCCACGGGAAGGAAGCACCCCCGGUAUUAAAACGAGCGGGGCGGAAAGAAGCCUUCAGUCGCCGGCCGGGAGGCGAGCCCAUGCCGAGCUGCUCCGCGUCCACCAUG